This 69-nucleotide transfer RNA is filed under the name Hyloxalus yasuni. RNAcentral's name for it is "tRNA-Asp". It matches the Rfam family "tRNA". From Rfam's summary of the family: Transfer RNA (tRNA) molecules are approximately 80 nucleotides in length. Their secondary structure includes four short double-helical elements and three loops (D, anti-codon, and T loops). Lineage: Eukaryota; Metazoa; Chordata; Amphibia; Anura; Dendrobatidae. The record is from RNAcentral.
GAGAACUUAGUUAAUUCAUAAUAUCACUUUGUCAAGGUGACGUAAUGGGUUAAACUCCCAUAUUUCUCU